Molecule: ribosomal RNA, 700 nt
Filed under: Paraliobacillus sp. A1FP12
Lineage: Bacteria; Bacillati; Bacillota; Bacilli; Caryophanales; Bacillaceae
Description: bacterial SSU rRNA
Rfam family: Bacterial small subunit ribosomal RNA
Source: RNAcentral
GAGCACGCCGCGUGAACGAUGAAGGUUUUCGGAUCGUAAAGUUCUGUUGUUAGGGAAGAACAAGUACCGUUCAAAUAGGGCGGUACCUUGACGGUACCUAACGAGGAAGCCCCGGCUAACUACGUGCCAGCAGCCGCGGUAAUACGUAGGGGGCAAGCGUUGUCCGGAAUUAUUGGGCGUAAAGCGCGCGCAGGCGGUUUUUUAAGUCUGAUGUGAAAUCUUGUGGCUCAACCACAAGCGGUCAUUGGAAACUGGAGAACUUGAGUACAGAAGAGGAGAGUGGAAUUCCACGUGUAGCGGUGAAAUGCGUAGAUAUGUGGAGGAACACCAGUGGCGAAGGCGACUCUCUGGUCUGUAACUGACGCUGAGGCGCGAAAGCGUGGGGAGCGAACAGGAUUAGAUACCCUGGUAGUCCACGCCGUAAACGAUGAGUGCUAGGUGUUAGGGGGUUUCCGCCCCUUAGUGCUGCAGUUAACGCAUUAAGCACUCCGCCUGGGGAGUACGGCCGCAAGGCUGAAACUCAAAAGAAUUGACGGGGACCCGCACAAGCGGUGGAGCAUGUGGUUUAAUUCGAAGCAACGCGAAGAACCUUACCAGGUCUUGACAUCCGCUGACAAUCCUAGAGAUAGGACUUUCCCUUCGGGGACAGCGUGACAGGUGGUGCAUGGUUGUCGUCAGCUCGUGUCGUGAGAUGUUGGGU